Molecule: ribosomal RNA, 433 nt
Filed under: uncultured bacterium
Lineage: Bacteria
Description: partial 16S ribosomal RNA
Rfam family: Bacterial small subunit ribosomal RNA
Source: RNAcentral
AACGAACGCUGGCGGCAGGCCUAACACAUGCAAGUCGAGCGGCUCGCUAGGGGAUAGCGGGGCGGGUGAGUGACACGCGGGGACGUAUGCCUUUCUCUACGGUAGCGCUGGGGAAAAGGGGGGAAUAUCGAGUAUGCGCUCAUGGGGGGAAAGAUUUAUCGGGAAAGGAUGGGCCCGCGUUGGAUUAGGUAGUUGGUGGGGUAAUGGCCUACCAAGCCGACGAUCCAUAGCUGGUCUGAGAGGAUGAUCAGCCACACUGGGACUGAGACACGGCCCAGACUCCUACGGGAGGCAGCAGUGGGGAAUAUUAGACAAUGGGCGCAAGCCUGAUCUAGCCAUGCCGCGUGAGUGAUGAAGGCCUUAGGGUUGUAAAGCUCUUUCAGCUGGGAAGAUAAUGACGGUACCAGCAGAAGAAGCCCCGGCUAACUUCGUG